This 1459-nucleotide long non-coding RNA is filed under the name Oryza sativa Indica Group (long-grained rice). RNAcentral describes it as "lncRNA OsZS97_11G011340". Lineage: Eukaryota; Viridiplantae; Streptophyta; Magnoliopsida; Poales; Poaceae. The record is from RNAcentral.
AGGCUUUUCCAUAGUGGUUUACAUACUGGACCUUGUUACGAAGAAGUAUAUACUGCAUUUUUACACAGAGAGGCUUUGAAGGUUUCUGGCACAAGAGGCAGCCUAAAUAAGACUGUUGCACGGGUGGUAUCCAGGUGUCAGCGCAAAUGCGUAGUGAAUAUCAUUAAAGAAUUCGAUGAUAGGAAGAAGGAGUUGAUUGGUGAAAUUGGAUUUGAUGGACUUUUGGAUAUCAAGCUUACUAAGGUAAACAGGCAGUUUGGGGCAUGGCUACUGAGCAAAGUUGAUCCGAAAUCAUGCGCUAUUGUUAAAGAUGUCAACCAGGAGUUGCCAUUCGGUUCCAAUGAUGUGAAUGCAGUUUUUGGCUUGCCAUGCUCAGGUCAACCUAUUAUCCCUUGCUCUCAAGAUGAAUUGGAUGGGAAGAAACAAAUAUUGUGUGAAAUAUUUAAGAUACCAAACUUUUCACACCUGAAAAUAUCACUCUUAAAGAGAAUCCUAAAGAAGCAGUAUGGUUAUCCCAUGACAAUAGAUGAAAAGAGGGUUUUCAUGGCGGCUUUUGUGCUUUAUGUCACAACGAAGCUUUUGGCACCGCAAUCCUGUGCAAACUUCAUAUCUCCUAGGUCUAUUAUGGCUGUUUCUGAUGUUGACAAUAUAAAACAGUACAACUGGUCCCAAUUCGUUGUACAUGAGGUGAAGAAAGCAGCAGAAUCAAUGCCCACCUGCUUUCCGAAUAAGGCUCAACUAUCCAUUAACGGGUGUAUCAUCUUUCUAAUGGUAAAAUACUUGAGAAAUCUCCUGUUCCGGAAGGUUGGGAUCACAUGUGUUAAAACAUGUCACAUUUCUCAGUUUGAGGAUGAUCAAAUUGCUAGGAUGAUUCAACAAGAUGUAGUUAGUAAACAUAACCCAGGAUUCCCCUUCCCUCGUUAUGGGAAACUCCAGUUGAUGAAGGAUCCAAGAGAAAACAACCCCCAUGUGCCAGAGCUAUCUCCCCUAAACUUAUGCUCCUGUUCGAAGAUCCCAUCUAGAGCCAUUGAUGGCGGUAAAAAUUUAAUAAAAUUCCUGGUAUCACACUUCUCUUCGUUAGACGUACAUAGAAGUGUCGGGUCACAGGCAUACGAGGAGUUGAAAUCUUCCGUUCAGGAUGGAUUCGAUCGGAUCGAUGAGAUUUUGCCUACCAUAUCAGAUUUCGUCGACAUAAGCACCAUGCAAACUGCUAUUCACGCAUCUAACCUAUUCAAGAGAGCCUUCAAGACUAAUAUUACAGCGGCAGUUAAGAUAGUGAUAAGGGCAGCAGUAACGAAAGUUAUUGAUACCAUUGAGGAUAUACAAGGGCCUCUCCAUCCAUGGGGAGACACAACUGCCAUGGGAUACCACACACCCACAAACUACUCCACACAUGCUACAAAAGAUGCUAGUCAAUUGGACCAACCAACCAACACGGUCAAACGUUAAACGUGAAUAG